This 466-nucleotide ribosomal RNA is filed under the name uncultured bacterium. RNAcentral's name for it is "partial 16S ribosomal RNA". It matches the Rfam family "Bacterial small subunit ribosomal RNA", at positions 28 to 506 of the family's 1533-position model. The record is from RNAcentral.
GACGAACGCUGGCGGCGUGCUUAACACAUGCAAGUCGAACGGAAAGGCCUCUUUCGGGGGGUACUCGAGUGGCGAACGGGUGAGUAACACGUGAGUAACCUGCCCUUGACUUUGGGAUAACUUCAGGAAACUGGGGCUAAUACCGGAUAGGAGCUCCUGCUGCAUGGUGGGGGUUGGAAAGUUUCGGCGGUUGGGGAUGGACUCGCGGCUUAUCAGCUUGUUGGUGGGGUAGUGGCUUACCAAGGCUUUGACGGGUAGCCGGCCUGAGAGGGUGACCGGCCACAUUGGGACUGAGAUACGGCCCAGACACCUACGGGAGGCAGCAGUGGGGAAUAUUGCACAAUGGGUGGAAGCCUGAUGCAGCAACGCCGUGUGCGGGAUGACGGCCUUCGGGUUGUAAACCGCUUUCGCUCAUGACGAAGCUUUGUGUGACGGUAGUGGGGAAAGAAGCACCGGCUAACUACGU